This 547-nucleotide small RNA is filed under the name Pongo abelii (Sumatran orangutan). RNAcentral's name for it is "processed transcript". Lineage: Eukaryota; Metazoa; Chordata; Mammalia; Primates; Hominidae. The record is from RNAcentral.
CACAGGCUGGAGUGCAGUGGUGCGAUCUCGGCUCACUGCAAGCUCCGCCUUCCGGGUUCACGCCAUUCUCCUGCCUCAGCCUCCCGAGUAGCUGGGACUACUGGCUCCUGCCACCACGCCCGGCUAAUUUUUUGUAUUUUUUAAUAGAGACGGGGUUUCACCGUGUUAGCCAGGAUGGUCUCAAUCUCCUGACCUCUUGAUCCCCCUGCCUCGGCCUCCCAAAGUGCUGGGAUUACAGCCGUGAGCCACUGCGCCCGGCCUGUAGCAGUCUCCUGUGAGUCCUGGCUUUGAGCAAAAAUCACCAUCAGAGUCAUUUAUUGGUCGAGAGAAGAGGUCAAAUUCUCAAUCAUACAUUGGACGACCAAUUCAACUUGACAAGAUUUUGAUGUCUAAAGUUAAAGUGCCGCACACAUUUGUCAUCCACUCCUACACCCGGCCCACAGUGUGCCAGUACUGCAAGAAGCUUCUGAAGGGGCUUUUCAGGCAGGGCUUGCAGUGCAAAGAUUGCAGAUUCAACUGCCAUAAACGUUGUGCACCAAAAGUACCA